CCUACGGGGAGCAGCAGUGAGGAAUAUUGGUCAAUGGCCGGAAGGCUGAACCAGCCAUGCCGCGUGAAGGUCAGUGCCCUAUGGGCGUUAAACUUCUUUUGUGCGGGAGCAAUAAUGGUCACGUGUGGCCAGACGAGAGUACCGUACGAAUAAGCAUCGGCUCACUCCGUGCCAGCAGCCGCGGUAAUACGGGGGAUGCAAGCGUUAUCCGGAUUUAUUGGGUGUAAAGGGUGCGUAGGCUGUGAGGUAAGUCAGCGGUGAAAUGCCCCCGCUCAACGGGGUGAAGGGCCAUUGAUACUGCCGUGCUGGAAUGCGGAUGCCGUGGGAGGAAUGUGUGGUGUAGCGGUGAAAUGCAUAGAUAUCACACAGAACACCGAUUGCGAAGGCAUCUCACGAAUCCGCGAUUGACGCUGAUGCACGAAAGCGUGGGUAUCAAACAGGAUUAGAUACCCGGGUAGUC
Molecule: ribosomal RNA, 460 nt
Filed under: uncultured bacterium
Lineage: Bacteria
Description: partial 16S ribosomal RNA
Rfam family: Bacterial small subunit ribosomal RNA
Source: RNAcentral